This 2113-nucleotide ribosomal RNA is filed under the name Escherichia coli. RNAcentral's name for it is "bacterial LSU rRNA". It matches the Rfam family "Bacterial large subunit ribosomal RNA", at positions 1 to 2141 of the family's 2925-position model. The record is from RNAcentral. Lineage: Bacteria; Pseudomonadati; Pseudomonadota; Gammaproteobacteria; Enterobacterales; Enterobacteriaceae.
UUAAGCGACUAAGCGUACACGGUGGAUGCCCUGGCAGUCAGAGGCGAUGAAGGACGUGCUAAUCUGCGAUAAGCGUCGGUAAGGUGAUAUGAACCGUUAUAACCGGCGAUUUCCGAAUGGGGAAACCCAGUGUGAUUCGUCACACUAUCAUUAACUGAAUCCAUAGGUUAAUGAGGCGAACCGGGGGAACUGAAACAUCUAAGUACCCCGAGGAAAAGAAAUCAACCGAGAUUCCCCCAGUAGCGGCGAGCGAACGGGGAGCAGCCCAGAGCCUGAAUCAGUGUGUGUGUUAGUGGAAGCGUCUGGAAAGGCGCGCGAUACAGGGUGACAGCCCCGUACACAAAAAUGCACAUACUGUGAGCUCGAUGAGUAGGGCGGGACACGUGGUAUCCUGUCUGAAUAUGGGGGGACCAUCCUCCAAGGCUAAAUACUCCUGACUGACCGAUAGUGAACCAGUACCGUGAGGGAAAGGCGAAAAGAACCCCGGCGAGGGGAGUGAAAAAGAACCUGAAACCGUGUACGUACAAGCAGUGGGAGCACGCUUAGGCGUGUGACUGCGUACCUUUUGUAUAAUGGGUCAGCGACUUAUAUUCUGUAGCAAGGUUAACCGAAUAGGGGAGCCGAAGGGAAACCGAGUCUUAACUGGGCGUUAAGUUGCAGGGUAUAGACCCGAAACCCGGUGAUCUAGCCAUGGGCAGGUUGAAGGUUGGGUAACACUAACUGGAGGACCGAACCGACUAAUGUUGAAAAAUUAGCGGAUGACUUGUGGCUGGGGGUGAAAGGCCAAUCAAACCGGGAGAUAGCUGGUUCUCCCCGAAAGCUAUUUAGGUAGCGCCUCGUGAAUUCAUCUCCGGGGGUAGAGCACUGUUUCGGCAAGGGGGUCAUCCCGACUUACCAACCCGAUGCAAACUGCGAAUACCGGAGAAUGUUAUCACGGGAGACACACGGCGGGUGCUAACGUCCGUCGUGAAGAGGGAAACAACCCAGACCGCCAGCUAAGGUCCCAAAGUCAUGGUUAAGUGGGAAACGAUGUGGGAAGGCCCAGACAGCCAGGAUGUUGGCUUAGAAGCAGCCAUCAUUUAAAGAAAGCGUAAUAGCUCACUGGUCGAGUCGGCCUGCGCGGAAGAUGUAACGGGGCUAAACCAUGCACCGAAGCUGCGGCAGCGACGCUGAUGCGUUGUUGGGUAGGGGAGCGUUCUGUAAGCCUGUGAAGGUGUGCUGUGAGGCAUGCUGGAGGUAUCAGAAGUGCGAAUGCUGACAUAAGUAACGAUAAAGCGGGUGAAAAGCCCGCUCGCCGGAAGACCAAGGGUUCCUGUCCAACGUUAAUCGGGGCAGGGUGAGUCGACCCCUAAGGCGAGGCCGAAAGGCGUAGUCGAUGGGAAACAGGUUAAUAUUCCUGUACUUGGUGUUACUGCGAAGGGGGGACGGAGAAGGCUAUGUUGGCCGGGCGACGGUUGUCCCGGUUUAAGCGUGUAGGCUGGUUUUCCAGGCAAAUCCGGAAAAUCAAGGCUGAGGCGUGAUGACGAGGCACUACGGUGCUGAAGCAACAAAUGCCCUGCUUCCAGGAAAAGCCUCUAAGCAUCAGGUAACAUCAAAUCGUACCCCAAACCGACACAGGUGGUCAGGUAGAGAAUACCAAGGCGCUUGAGAGAACUCGGGUGAAGGAACUAGGCAAAAUGGUGCCGUAACUUCGGGAGAAGGCACGCUGAUAUGUAGGUGAAGUCCCUCGCGGAUGGAGCUGAAAUCAGUCGAAGAUACCAGCUGGCUGCAACUGUUUAUUAAAAACACAGCACUGUGCAAACACGAAAGUGGACGUAUACGGUGUGACGCCUGCCCGGUGCCGGAAGGUUAAUUGAUGGGGUCAGCGCAAGCGAAGCUCUUGAUCGAAGCCCCGGUAAACGGCGGCCGUAACUAUAACGGUCCUAAGGUAGCGAAAUUCCUUGUCGGGUAAGUUCCGACCUGCACGAAUGGCGUAAUGAUGGCCAGGCUGUCUCCACCCGAGACUCAGUGAAAUUGAACUCGCUGUGAAGAUGCAGUGUACCCGCGGCAAGACGGAAAGACCCCGUGAACCUUUACUAUAGCUUGACACUGAACAUUGAGCCUUGAUGUGUAG